AGAAUGAACGCUGGCGGCGUGCCUAACACAUGCAAGUCGUACGAGAAAGGGGCUUCGGCCCUGAGUAGAGUGGCGCACGGGUGAGUAACGCGUGGGUAAUCUGCCCUUGGAUUUGGAAUAACUCCGCGAAAGUGGAGCUAAUACCGGAUAGUCUGGCUUUUUAACGAAGUCGGUAAAGGAUGCCUCUGCAUAUGCAUUCGUCCGAGGAUGAGCCCGCGUCUCAUUAGCUAGUUGGUAGGGUAAUGGCCUACCAAGGCAACGAUGAGUAGCUGGUCUGAGAGGAUGAUCAGCCACACUGGAACUGAAACACGGUCCAGACUCCUACGGGAGGCAGCAGUGGGGAAUAUUGCGCAAUGGGCGAAAGCCUGACGCAGCAACGCCGUGUGAGGGAUGAAGGCUUUCGGGUCGUAAACCUCUGUCAGAAGGGAAGAACGGGCAUUGGUCUAAUAGGCCUUUGUUUUGACGGUACCUUCAGAGGAAGCACCGGCUAACUCC
RNAcentral lists this ribosomal RNA (495 nucleotides) under uncultured bacterium. Its description in RNAcentral is "bacterial SSU rRNA". It matches the Rfam family "Bacterial small subunit ribosomal RNA", at positions 26 to 504 of the family's 1533-position model. The record is from RNAcentral.